GAGGGCAUAGCUCAAGCGGUACAGUGUGUGCUUAGCAUGCACAAGGUCCUGGGUUCCAUCCCCAGUACCUCCG
Camelus ferus (Wild Bactrian camel) is the source of this 73-nucleotide transfer RNA. It matches the Rfam family "tRNA". Rfam says of the family: Transfer RNA (tRNA) molecules are approximately 80 nucleotides in length. NCBI's taxonomy places the organism in Eukaryota, Metazoa, Chordata, Mammalia, Artiodactyla, Camelidae. The record is from Rfam.